AGAAUAAUGUCCUUAUGUUUAAUGUGAAUCUCAUGAUUAAGUCAUACUUUAUACAUUAAACAGACUGGCUAUUCUAGGGACUUUAUUAAACAAACGUAAUAAAGAAAAAGCCUUUUAUUAUUAAUAAAUAAUUCGAUACAAGUACCAAAAGUAUUGGCCUCUAGGGCUUACACCAACAAUCUCCCACUAGCACUAGAGCCAAUCAGGCAUACCCUUAAUACCCAUAGACCUAGUAUGGCAUCAUGCUUCUGCUGCGCAAGAG
RNAcentral lists this long non-coding RNA (262 nucleotides) under Lathyrus oleraceus (garden pea). RNAcentral describes it as "Pisum sativum (pea) long non-coding RNA (PSAT_LNC002561)". The record is from RNAcentral. Lineage: Eukaryota; Viridiplantae; Streptophyta; Magnoliopsida; Fabales; Fabaceae.